AUACGUAGGGGGCGAGCGUUGUCCGGAAUGAUUGGGCGUAAAGGGCGCGUAGGCGGCCCGGUAAGUCUGGAGUGAAAGUCCUGUUUUUAAGAUGGGAAUUGCUUUGGAUACUGUCGGGCUUGAGUGCAGGAGAGGUAAGUGGAAUUCCCAGUGUAGCGGUGAAAUGCGUAGAGAUUGGGAGGAACACCAGUGGCGAAGGCGACUUACUGGGCCGUAACUGACGCUGAGGCGCGAAAGCGUGGGGAGCGAACAGGAUUAGAUACCCUGGUAGUCCACGCGGUAAACGAUGAAUGCUAGGUGUUGCGGGUAUCGACCCCUGCAGUGCCGGAGUAAACACAAUAAGUAUCCCACCUGGGGAGUACGGCCGCAAGGUUGAAACUCAAAGGAAUUGACGGGG
This 397-nucleotide ribosomal RNA is filed under the name uncultured bacterium. RNAcentral's name for it is "partial 16S ribosomal RNA". It matches the Rfam family "Bacterial small subunit ribosomal RNA", at positions 523 to 918 of the family's 1533-position model. The record is from RNAcentral.